This 240-nucleotide ribosomal RNA is filed under the name uncultured bacterium. Its description in RNAcentral is "partial 16S ribosomal RNA". It matches the Rfam family "Bacterial small subunit ribosomal RNA", at positions 523 to 762 of the family's 1533-position model. The record is from RNAcentral.
AUACGUAGGGGGCGAGCGUUGUCCGGAAUUACUGGGCGUAAAGGGUGCGUAGGUGGCCUUUUAAGUUGGAUGUGAAAUACCCGGGCUUAACCUGGGGGGUGCAUCUAAUACUGGGAGGCUAGAGUGCAGGAGAGGAAAGCGGAAUUCCUAGUGUAGCGGUGAAAUGCGUAGAUAUUAGGAGGAACACCAGUGGCGAAGGCGGCUUUCUGGACCGAUACUGACGCUGAGACGCGAAAGCGU